This 4009-nucleotide long non-coding RNA is filed under the name Sus scrofa (pig). Its description in RNAcentral is "lncRNA (ENSSSCG00000059592.1)". Lineage: Eukaryota; Metazoa; Chordata; Mammalia; Artiodactyla; Suidae. The record is from RNAcentral.
CAUCAUAUCUUCACUUUAGAAAGAUCAUUCUGGCUUCAAAGUGAAGAAUGGACCAGAGAGAGACACCAUUGAAGGCAGGGAGGCUGGUUAGGCUGUUGCAGUAUUACAGGUGAGCAAUGGUAGAACUCUGAAACAUGGUAGCAGCAGUGGCAAUGCAGAGAUGCAGAGAAGGUGAACAAGAUAUUUACAGGUAGAAAUAACAGGACCCGUUGAAAGAUUAACCAGAGAAGGUAAUGGAGGCAGGUGGUAAAUAUAAUACCUGAGAUUUUGGCUCGAAUAUCUGGAUGAAAACCUGGCACAUUCAUUGAUAAAGAGAAUCUAGGUAGAGGAGUAGGUGUUUCCCUGGUUUUGCUAUUUGUAUAUUUGGGAGCAGGGUGAGUAAUAAGUUCAGUUCUGCUCAUGAUGAGUUUGAAUUGACAAUGGAGAUGUCAGGCUGAAUACAAGAAGGUCAAUGACAAAAUCAGUCUGGAGUUAGAGAUUUGGGAUUCAUCAGUGUACUGAUAGGAGCUGUAAAUGGGAGGGGGUGAGAGGCUCAGAAAUAAGAAGAAACAAGGAUGUUAGAAACCCAACCAUUUACAUUCUGCAAGAGGGAGAGCACUCCAGAAAAGAGGAAGAAAGGGAAUGCCCAGAGCUACAGAUGGAAAACCAGCAAGGAAUUCUCAAGUAGGGGGAAGUUAUCAUUUGUAUCAAAUACGGCCGAGAGUUCAUCCAAUGUAUUUUCAUUACAAUUCUGUUAUCCAAACUUCAAGUAUGUCACUAUAUGCGUUCAUUCAUUCACUCAUUAAAAUAUAUUUAGUGAGCCCUCACCCUAUUCCAGAUACUGUUCUGGGGCCUACAGUUAUAUAGCUAGUAAAAACCACAUAUAAGGUAUAUGAAAAUGUUAAACCAAAGAAAGAAAGAGAGUCCUGUCUUACUUUCUGUAAUUUGAAAAUCAGCAUUUGAGGGUUUCAGCUAACUUUUAUCAUCUAAUAACAUCUAACUUAUAUUUUGUUUUCUUCCCUAAAGGAAUAUUAGGAGAGACCCUGUCUAGUGGUAUCGUAAAUAUAUUGAAAUCCAAAUAUAGUAUGUUUCAUUCAUUUUCCUGAUCUCCUGGUAUAGCAAUAUGUGUGCUUGAUUUUUCUACUUCUUUGGAGAUGGAAUUGUUAGAAAAUCAACUUGUGAAACUUGUCAGACACUGGGAUUUUAGCCAAUUAAUUCCGCCCACAGGUUAUUAAAUAGCUAUUGAGUACAUGCCUUGUACCAGGCAUUGUUUUACCUAAAUACUAUGGUGGUCAAAACAAACAAGGUUCCCCACUUCUCAUAGAAGGUGGGGUAAGGUAGUACUUAAAAGCAUGGGCUUUGUUUAAAACGCUUUUCUGCCACUUACUAGUAAUUAUUAAAUCUUUUCCUGCCCCAACUUCAUCAUGAACUAAGGUUCAAUUUCAUCAUCUGCAAACUGGGAAUAAUUAUAGUAAACUGAUCACAUCAUUGUUAAGAGGUAAGUUUUAAAAAGGGUAAACUUGGAAUUCCCAUUAAAGCUGAGUGGUGACAAAUCUGAUUAGUAUCCAUGAGGUGCGGGUUCAGUCCCUGGUCUCGCUCAGUGGGUUAAUGAUCCGGCAUUGCCAUGAGCUGUACUGUAGGUCUCAGACUCGGCUCAGAUCCCUAAUUGCUAUGGCUGUGGCGCAGGCCAGUGGCUAUAGCUCCGAUUGGACCCCUAGCCUGGGAACUUAAAUAUGCCAUGGGUGCGGCCCUAAAAAGACAAAAUUAAUAGAUAAAAUUUUAAAAAUAAUUGAUAAAAAAACUAAAAGGGUAAAGUUAUUCUCAAUAUGUCAAAACAUUUAAAUUGGGAAUGAGGGAACUAGUAGGAUGUUAUAAAUAAGUCAAAAAUAAACAUACACAAUGCAAUAUAUAUGUAAUGGAAAUGCUGAAAUAAAUUUAUUAAUAGAUGCAAAACAGGUAUUAUUAGCAGAGUGAUAAUCAACUACAUUUUACUGGACAAUAGAGGUGACAUCUGAGCCAAGUAGGAAUUAAAUCACGAUAGGAGAGAAUAGGAAGGGGAGGAGAUCUGCAUGUAAGUCUGGAGAUGAGAGUAGAAUUUAGAACAUUUUUGGAUUGGAAAUUAGCCUUGUCUGAUGGACUGUAGACUGCAGUGAAAGGAGAAAUGGCCAGAAAGAAGUUGAAGGGAAGGUCUUAAAGACCCCUGAACAACAUGCUAGAAAUUUGGAUUUUAAGAACAAGGAAGAACAGUUGAACAAUUUGGUACAGAAAUUGGUAAGAAUUGAUUUGCAUUGUAACCAGGUCUUAGGGCUUCAAUGAAAGAGCUCUGGAAAGAAACAACACUGAAAGAAGGGAAAUGAUUUGGGCAUUUUUACAGCAAUUCAGGCAAGAGAUGGUGAAGGCCUAACCAGAGACUGAAAGGAGUGGUAGAGAGAUAGAAUCAAGAUAAUUUAUAGAGGACAUCUGGCUUAAUGAGUGAUGGCUUAUAAAGGGUAAGAGGGAGAAAUUCAAGCUCCAACUCAAGUUAUAACUUGGGCAUCUGAAGAGUUGGUGCGGUCACUGAGAAAACGAACACAGAAUGGGAAAUGAAUGUUGGAGAGGAAGAUAGUAAACAGUUUGGGGCGUGCAUAUGGAGUUUGAGCAGCCAGUGGGGCAUUAAAUGAAGGUAAUAAAAGUAGUUGCAUAUGAAUCAUAGGGAGUAGAGGCAGAGGUGGAGUCACUGAAUACAGGAAGGAAGUGAAGCUUGGUUUAGGAGCACUCACUCAGAGUAAGGAGAGAAGACCUAGGAAUACUGAAAUGGAACAGGGUGGGGUAGGGCAGAGAAAGUGCAGCUACCAGGGAGACAAGAGGGAACAAUUAAAUGGGUAGAUGGAGGAGAGCAGAAAUGGCAGCAAGAGUGUUUCAGGAACAAGACAGGAAGUGGCCAAAAGUGGUAGCAGAGUGCUCACCACACAGUAGGCACUGUUCUAAGUGAUAUAUGUAGCUCAUCACGUUCUCUCAGCGUUGCCAUACAAUAAAUACUGUUAUUAUCAUCUUCAUACUACAGAGAAGGAAAGCAAAACCAAGAAGUUAGAUAACCUGCUCAAAGCUAGCACGAGAAAGAGCCCUGAUUUAGAUUCAGGCUCUCUUGACUAGCAUUCAUGCUCUUAAACACUCUGCUUACUGUGUGGUCACACAUGAGAGGUCAGGUCUACAGAGUCUGAGAGGUACUCACUGGAUUUAACAAGACAGUUAUGAGCAACCUUGGUAAGAAGAGCAUUAGUUGUGUGGUAUAGAAAGGCCUAUUAGAGGAGAAGAGUGAAUGGGAAGCAGGUUUGUUUGUUUUUUGUUUUUUUGUUUUAAGCAGUUUAAUUGUAAAGAGAAGAUGAGAAGAUAGCUUAAUGAGAAGGGAUAAAGGGAGAUUGUGUUAUGUAUGUGUUAAGACGGAGGAGAGUUGACUUGAACAGCAAGAAACUCAGAGAGGAGUGGUUCAAGAUAGAGGGGAAGGAAGAAGUAACCAACAGGUGGAAAUUUUUGAGAAGGAGGUGGCAUAGGAUCCAGAGACCCCUCCCCAUGGGUUGUAUCAGAAGAAAGAAUGAAUAAGGAGGCAGAUCUCGUUAUAGAUUUGGGGACCAUAUUAGAGGGUGUUCCCGUCUGAUGGAGGACAGAAGUUCAUAUAUCAUUAGGCGGAUUGUAGGCGGUUGGUGGUCCAGUCAUGGCUAGAGAUUCAGAUCAGAAAGUCCAGAUACCCAUCAAAACAGUAUAGGUACAGCUGGCCAAUCAUUUCUCAGACCUCUUCUUAUCCACAGGCUCCUUGGGCCAUCAGCUUCUUGCUCAAGAAUUCCACAAGCCUAAACAUGGGGCCAUAGAUUUUUCCCAGUGGAGUCUUUCCUGCAGUCAUGAUUCACAGGAGUUGGAGGCCAGUGGAGGGUUCGGAGGUGGAAGUCUCUUUAUCACACCUGAACACACUUCACAAUGAGAGCACAUUCCUCCUGCAGUCAUUUUUUUAGAAGACUUACUGGAGGGCAAAUAUUUGUCUUAAUAACUUUGAAGG